CUAUGAGAGGUAUUGCUGCUGCCUCUGCCAGUGUAAUAGCUAGAUGUGUUGUGUGCUGCUGAGUUGUUGUUUCCCUAUGAGAGGUAUUGCUGCUGCCUCUGCCAGUGUAAUAGCUAGAUGUGUUGUGUGCUGCUGAGUUGUUGUUUCCCUAUGAGAGGUAUUGCUGCUGCCUCUGCCAGUGUAAUAGCUAGAUGUGUUGUGUGCUGCUGAGUUGUUGUUUCCCUAUGAGAGGUAUUGCUGCUGCCUCUGCCAGUGUAAUAGCUAGAUGUGUUGUGUGCUGCUGAGUUGUUGUUUCCCUAUGAGAGGUAUUGCUGCUGCCUCUGCCAGUGUAAUAGCUAGAUGUGUUGUGUGCUGCUGAGUUGUUGUUUCCCUAUGAGAGGUAUUGCUGCUGCCUCUGCCAGUGUAAAAGCUAGAUGUGUUGUGUGCUGCUGAGUUGUUGUUUCCCUAUGAGAGGUAUUGCUGCUGCCUCUGCCAGUGUAAAAGCUAGAUGUGUUGUGUGCUGCUGAGUUGUUGUUUCCCUAUGAGAGGUAUUGCUGCUGCCUCUGCCAGUGUAAAAGCUAGAUGUGUUGUGUGCUGCUGAGUUGUUGUUUCCCUAUGAGAGGUAUUGCUGCUGCCUCUGCCAGUGUAAUAGCUAGAUGUGUUGUGUGCUGCUGAGUUGUUGUUUCCCUAUGAGAGGUAUUGCUGCUGCCUCUGCCAGUGUAAAAGCUAGAUGUGUUGUGUGCUGCUGAGUUGUUGUUUCCCUAUGAGAGGUAUUGCUGCUGCCUCUGCCAGUGUAAUAGCUAGAUGUGUUGUGUGCUGCUGAGUUGUUGUUUCCCUAUGAGAGGUAUUGCUGCUGCCUCUGCCAGUGUAAUAGCUAGAUGUGUUGUGUGCUGCUGAGUUGUUGUUUCCCUAUGAGAGGUAUUGCUGCUGCCUCUGCCAGUGUAAUAGCUAGAUGUGUUGUGUGCUGCUGAGUUGUUGUUUCCCUAUGAGAGGUAUUGCUGCUGCCUCUGCCAGUGUAAUAGCUAGAUGUGUUGUGUGCUGCUGAGUUGUUGUUUCCCUAUGAGAGGUAUUGCUGCUGCCUCUGCCAGUGUAAUAGCUAGAUGUGUUGUGUGCUGCUGAGUUGUUGUUUCCCUAUGAGAGGUAUUGCUGCUGCCUCUGCCAGUGUAAUAGCUAGAUGUGUUGUGUGCUGCUGAGUUGUUGUUUCCCUAUGAGAGGUAUUGCUGCUGCCUCUGCCAGUGUAAUAGCUAGAUGUGUUGUGUGCUGCUGAGUUGUUGUUUCCCUAUGAGAGGUAUUGCUGCUGCCUCUGCCAGUGUAAUAGCUAGAUGUGUUGUGUGCUGCUGAGUUGUU
Molecule: long non-coding RNA, 1326 nt
Organism: Oncorhynchus keta (chum salmon)
Lineage: Eukaryota; Metazoa; Chordata; Actinopteri; Salmoniformes; Salmonidae
Exons: 3
Source: RefSeq, a predicted model, not a curated record